RNAcentral lists this small nuclear RNA (19 nucleotides) under Arabidopsis thaliana (thale cress). RNAcentral's name for it is "snRNA_12035". The record is from RNAcentral. Lineage: Eukaryota; Viridiplantae; Streptophyta; Magnoliopsida; Brassicales; Brassicaceae.
CCCUUCGACACUUUUCUGA